GCAUGUUUCUAUUCCUUUUUCAUGCCCUUCUGUUUAUUUCUUACUACUAGUUCUGGAGUUUGAUUUGUGGAUCAAGUUAAUUCACACUGAGUCAAUAGAGAUACGCAUUUUGAAAACUUACCUUUGAGCAGCUAUUUUACCAUGUUAUUUUUCCUGUACCAACUGACAUCCUCUAAAGCCUGAACAAUCCAUCAGCAACCCAUGAGCCAGCAGAACAAAAGAUGACAGAACUGGGGCUGGCAGAGCAAGAGGAAGGAGCCUGCAUGUCUAAAGAGAGAAGUGAAGUUUAAGUACUGGAAAAAAGGAAAGUCUUCAGCCUUGGGAAUGUAAUAACUUGGGGUCAGCUGAGAACCCUGAGGAAGACUGACCCAAUCAGCUG
This 379-nucleotide long non-coding RNA is filed under the name Rhinopithecus bieti (black snub-nosed monkey). Its description in RNAcentral is "lncRNA (ENSRBIG00000046321.1)". Lineage: Eukaryota; Metazoa; Chordata; Mammalia; Primates; Cercopithecidae. The record is from RNAcentral.